This 154-nucleotide ribosomal RNA is filed under the name uncultured eukaryote. RNAcentral describes it as "partial 18S ribosomal RNA". It matches the Rfam family "Eukaryotic small subunit ribosomal RNA", at positions 1299 to 1458 of the family's 1831-position model. The record is from RNAcentral.
UCGUGGAGUGAUUUGUCUGGUUAAUUCCGAUAACGAACGAGACCUUAUUCUGCUAAAUAGCUAGGCCAACUUUUUAGUUGGUUAAUAGAUUUAUCUAUCUGGCUUCUUAGAGAGACUAUCGGCUUCAAGCCGAAGGAAGUUUUAGGCAAUAACA